GGAUCCUGAAAAUACAAACCAUUCAAAUAUUUAGUCUCGGUGAAAAUAUGAUAAAAAUUAAAAAAUUAAAAAUAAAAUAAAAUAAAGUAAAUGCAAAAAAGUAAAACAAGGUAAGAAAACCAUGGGUUGCCUCCCACGCAGCGCUUGUUUAACGUCAUUAGCUUGACGAUCGGAAUUUAUACACCUGUAGUAGGGAUCGAUGGAUCAAUCAGAGUGUGGCUUGAGUAGUCCGUUGGAAU
RNAcentral lists this long non-coding RNA (239 nucleotides) under Lathyrus oleraceus (garden pea). RNAcentral describes it as "Pisum sativum (pea) long non-coding RNA (PSAT_LNC015333)". The record is from RNAcentral. Lineage: Eukaryota; Viridiplantae; Streptophyta; Magnoliopsida; Fabales; Fabaceae.